GAUGAACGCUAGCUACAGGCUUAACACAUGCAAGUCGAGGGGAAACGCCAUCGAAAGCUUGCUUUUGAUGGGCGUCGACCGGCGCACGGGUGAGUAACGCGUAUCCAACCUGCCCACCACUUGGGGAUAACCUUGCGAAAGUAAGACUAAUACCCAAUGACGUCUCUAGAAGACAUCUGAAAGAGAUUAAAGAUUUAUCGGUGAUGGAUGGGGAUGCGUCUGAUUAGCUUGUUGGCGGGGUAACGGCCCACCAAGGCGACGAUCAGUAGGGGUUCUGAGAGGAAGGUCCCCGACAUGGGAACUGAGACACGGUCCAAACUCCUACGGGAGGCAGCAGUGAGGAAUAUUGGUCAAUGGACGAGAGUCUGAACCAGCCAAGUAGCGUGCAGGAUGACGGCCCUAUGGGUUGUAAACUGCUUUUAUAAGGGAAUAAAGUGAGUCUCGUGAGACUUUUUGCAUGUACCUUAUGAAUAAGGACCGGCUAAUUCCGUG
Molecule: ribosomal RNA, 492 nt
Filed under: uncultured bacterium
Lineage: Bacteria
Description: partial 16S ribosomal RNA
Rfam family: Bacterial small subunit ribosomal RNA
Source: RNAcentral